RNAcentral lists this ribosomal RNA (661 nucleotides) under uncultured bacterium. RNAcentral describes it as "bacterial SSU rRNA". It matches the Rfam family "Bacterial small subunit ribosomal RNA", at positions 94 to 788 of the family's 1533-position model. The record is from RNAcentral.
AGUGGCGGACGGGUGAGUAACGCGUGAGAAUCUGCCUUCAGGUCGGGGACAACAGAGGGAAACUUCUGCUAAUCCCGGAUGAGCCUUAGGGUAAAAAAUUUAUUGCCUGGAGAUGAGCUCGCGUCUGAUUAGCUAGUUGGUAAGGUAAAAGCUUACCAAGGCAACGAUCAGUAGCUGGUCUGAGAGGAUGAGCAGCCACACUGGGACUGAGACACGGCCCAGACUCCUACGGGAGGCAGCAGUGGGGAAUUUUCCGCAAUGGGCGAAAGCCUGACGGAGUAAGACCGCGUGGGGGAGGAAGGCUCUAGGGUUGUAAACCCCUUUUCUUUGGGAAGAACAAAAUGACGGUACCAAAGGAAUCAGCCUCGGCUAACUCCGUGCCAGCAGCCGCGGUAAUACGGAGGAGGCAAGCGUUAUCCGGAAUGAUUGGGCGUAAAGCGUCCGCAGGUGGCAAUGUAAGUCUGCUGUCAAAACCCAGGGCUCAACUCUGGUCAGGCAGUGGAAACUACAUAGCUAGAGUUCGGUAGGGGCAAAGGGAAUUCCCGGUGUAGCGGUGAAAUGCGUAGAGAUCGGGAAGAACAUCGGUGGCGAAAGCGCUUUGCUAGACCGAAACUGACACUCAGGGACGAAAGCUAGGGGAGCGAAUGGGAUUAGAUACCCC